RNAcentral lists this long non-coding RNA (3832 nucleotides) under Cricetulus griseus (Chinese hamster). RNAcentral's name for it is "lncRNA (ENSCGRG00015034927.1)". The record is from RNAcentral. Lineage: Eukaryota; Metazoa; Chordata; Mammalia; Rodentia; Cricetidae.
AGGAAGUGGACCCCUUCUCUCUUCCUCCAGAGUCACCAUGUGAUCCCAGGAUGCCAAUGGAAGGCGUCCAAUAAGAUCAAUAGCUCUGGAAGCCAUCUGAAAUGUAAUUUGCUACACCACUUGGACAUUCUGAUUCCAUUGGUAUCAGGUAAGCUCUAAUUAUUUUUUGAAAACAUCUCCAAGAGUUUUAGGGUGGAUCAACUCUAAAUGACUGGUAUUAAUUAGCUAGCUAUUGAAAGUCUGGAAAGAAUAAAUCACAUAACAUGAUAUGGUUCACAAGUCAGCAUUAGUCUUCCACUGGGGGAGAAUUUAACAGCUGUCCUUUGCAAUAUUUGUGAUUUUUCUAGAAAAUAUUACUGUAGAACAACCUUGAAGGGUCAAGUCAUGUAUUAGAAUCAUUGGCUGACAAAAAGCUGUUAUAGCUCAACACUAUCUCUUCCUUGGAGGAGGUGACAGACAAUGGCUAAUUGUACUCCAAAUCAGAAAUUACCACACUGUGUUGCUUUGAAUGAGAGUAGUCCCCAUAGUCUCAUAUUAUAAAUACUUGGUGCCCAGUCAGUAGAGCUGUUUGGGGAAAUAAUUAGAAGGUGUGGCCUUGGAGGAAGAGUGUCAGUGUGGGUGGGCUUAGAGAUUUUAAAAGCCCACACCACUCCAGUUAGCUCUUUCUGGGUCAUUCUCUGCAUCUUGACUGUGGAUUAAAUGUGAGCUUUCAGCUACUACUCCAACAUCAUGCCCGCCUGCAUUCUGCCAUGUUGCCUGGCAUGAUGGUCAUGGACUCACCCCUGAAACUGUAAACUGCAAUAACAAUAACCUCCGUCUUGAAUAGGCUGCCUUGGUCAUGAUGCUUUGUCAUAGCAAUAGAAAAAUAACUAAAACACAUAUCUUAUUUCUAUUUGUGGAAUACAAAUGAGAAAAUCCAAAUUUUUAACACUUCAGCACAAUUGAAGCACUAGGUAAACAUAUUUUAGCAUAACCCUUCUAUUCUUUUCUGUGUCCUUUUGUCUACCACCCAUUCAUCCCUUUCUGUUUCAGACUUUUUCUUAUACCCUAAUUUCCUUCUGCUGAGAUUCUGGAGGAAAAUGAGAAAACUUGGCAGAUAAGAUAAAUGACUCAUUAGUCAGCUUUUCAUCAAUGUAACAAAAUGCUUAAGGUAAUUAACUUAUAAAGAGAAGAAGCUUGCUGGACAUGAUAGUGCAUUUAUAUAAUUCCAAUGCUAUAUAUAAAACAAUAGAAGGAGGUAAUGAAUUCAUCAUGGCUAGAUGGAGUAUACAAGCAUUGGAGAAGUAAGAAGGAUAAAAAAUAUUGCAAAUAUAGUAUUCAUAUAUAAAAUUCUAAAAAUAAUAAAUUAAUCUUCCAGUGAGUUGAAUAACACUGAUUUAUUUUCCUUCUUCCUUUCAUAAUAUGUUAGUAAUGUUACUAAUAUUCUCUAAUAUAAAGCAAAUGUUGAAUUCUUAGAAUAAGGCCAACUUUUUCAUUAAAAGUUAUUACUAGUUUUUGGUUCAUGCUUGGCACUGGAUUUUGUUAGCUGGCCUGUGACUCUUAGGAGAACCUUUAUCACCCUAUGUGAUAUAAUUCCAUUUAACUUACAUGCAUUUAUAUGUCUGUGUUAUAUAAUAUAUAUAAUAUUUAUAAUAUAUAUUUGUGUAUAUAUAUAUAUAGCUUAUAAAAUACUGUUUCCCUGUUAUAUGUUCCAUUGAUUAUGUGCAGUAAAUAGGAUAGCUACUUCUAAUUUUACUAAAAAUAUUAAAAUCCAACUUUUCAUAAGAAAGUGCCACAUUCAGCAGUUCAUAUGUAUUUUCCUCUGCGAUUUGUCUUUGCUUAAAUGUGGGUAGAUAUAUGGGGUAGGGGAGACAGACCCAGACAGACUGAGAUGUUCUCCAAAGAUCUCUGCUCUAUAGGCAUUCUGCUAGGUUUUUCAAAGCACUAUGCUCUGCUGAAGGCACCAAAGGAAUCAAAUAAUCUUUCUAAAGUGCAUGUUUCAUCUAUUGCUGAUCCAGUCUUAGUGUACAAUGAAACCAUAGAGAACAAAGUGACCAAGGUCAAAUUCUUAGUCUGAAAAUAGCUAAUAUUUUGGUGGUUUGGGGGGGGUUUUCUUCACAACAUGCUAUAGAAUGAAAUUAAAAAUUGAAGAGAACUGCUUUGAGACAUUUAUAAGAAGAAAUCCUAAUUUUAGCAGUUCUGAGCAUGCAAACAGCUCAGCAAUGUAAUGUAGUUAUUUGAGUUUCUAUGUUAAUGGAACCACCAAUUGCCAUGGUGCUGUGAUCUGUAAAACCAGGGAAACCAUCUUCCCAUACUGAACCAGCCCUUCCAACUAGACAAGGCUUGAGACACCACCUGAAACCCAAAUCCUUCAGAAGCGAUUAUUCAAGUUUUUUCAAUUAGUUAUUAAUAUCUUUGUGAAAAUAUGACUGUUCCCGGUGAAAAUAUAAAUAUUCCCUCUUCAUUGAGUGAUUAGUAGAAAAAAAUAUGUUUUUAAAUUUCAUAUUUACAAAAUCAUGAAAAUAAAAUUUUGUUAUUCAGACAUUAAAUGAACAUGUUCUUGUCUAUACAUGGACCUCAAAAACUUAAAACAUAGGAGCCAGAGAACAUGAUUGGCAGUCAUACAGUUUGUCUAACCAUUGCUAGGCCAUGCUACUUCAGCUGACACAUUUACUAUAUAAGCAUAAUAAUAAUUAUUAUGUUAUUACAAUAUAUUGUGUAUAUAUAAGAACUUGUCAAUUAAAAUUAUAACUAGACAUUCCCAUUUAUUCAAAGGAGAUUUAGUUUACUAUUGCUAAUGCCCAAUCAUCUGAGACUUUAUCACAGAUUUCAAAGGCUAAAUCUUUAGUGAUUUAAUAUGCUGCUGUGCCUUGAGCAAUGAGUGAGACAUGCCUGAUUUGCUUCAAAGUUAAGUGUGAGUUUCUGUGAGACUAUUUAGCAGGCUGUGGCUUAUUGUGUAAAAUGUCAGGGUUUUUAAGUCUGAUGAGAAGUCAGUCCCUUAGGAUCAAUUAAUUUAAAAUUUAUUAAGCAGAGAAGAAAUCUAUCACUAAGGGGUAUUUUCGAAAAGCACAAAGUGUAUCCAGGAAGGCUGACUCAUACUCAUCUUGGUUAUGCCCUCAUAGAAACUCAAGAGCUCUAAACUAUGCAAUGCUUCAUGGCUCCUGUAGGUAUCUCUGCUAGCUUAGUACGUCACAACUAUUCAUUGCCUGUGUUCUGAUUAGCUUGACCCUAAUGUACUUCUAUUUUGGGGCAUCCACUAUCAUAUUAAGAACCAUGAUAUGGGGGUUAAAAAAAUCACUAUCAUUUUUCCUUAUUUUAUUAAAGAGGUCUCUCAUCGUUUUCCUAUAUAUUUCCCCUAUCCAGAAACGAAAAUAUUUAUGUCACUUUCAGUGGAGUUUGUCUUUCAUCUCUCAGUGGCAUUUCAGGUCACUAAGUGCUAUCCAAUUUAUUUGUAUUCCGGUGCCACUCCAGUGAAGCAUGCCUCUCUGUCAGCUGAGUGUAAGAUGCAGGUGCUCAGCACUUGGAAGCCAUGCCAUGAACAAAUCGACGGUAUCAGCAGCAGCCAGCCAUCCUGUAGACAAUUUCCAAGUAACGACUGGAGAAGAGUUCUCAAAAUUUUUUAGCAGUCCUAACUUCAGUUUUCCCUGGAAAAUCUGAGAUCACUUUCUUGGACUUUGUUAAACUGUCAUAUUUUAUUCCAACUCUCCUUAAUCCUAUUGAAUAUCUAUUUGGUAUUUUAUUUCCAUAAGUAGUUCCUUUAUCACACUGAAAAUAGAGUCUGGUAUAAUUAUGAUUCUUAUAAACAAUUAUCUUUAAUCAUAUUGAUGAUGAAUUUCAAUAAAAUGUUAUUUCU